AACCAUAAAGGUACAACAUAUUCCGUAAUAGGAAUAUUGUAGUAGGAAAAGACUUCUUUAAUUUGAAAUGUGUUAAAGUCAACCAAAUGUUUGAUCGCCGCAGCUACAGUUCAUUGUCUCUUUCAGCAGUAGGUCUGUUUUCUUCUGUUAAAACACUGUGUUACAGCAGAGAAGGUUUAUUGUGCAGAUGGGAACAAACCACAUUGCGAGUUGAUGGCGUGGGGGCUGUGAGGUGACUUGAUUAAGGACAAAUCAAGUGGAAGUUGAUAUGUAGACGAUGGCAGAGAAGGUGGGGGUGUCAGUACAAGCAGCAUGGAUCCAUGUUGUGAUUAUUUGUUCAUGUCUGGAUAUGGAUCCAAGUAUGUGUUUGUUUGUGUGUCUGUGCGGGUGUGUGUUCUUAUCUCCCAUGGUCCACACGACAGGGGCAUCAGAGGAAGUGUGGCCUUUCCUUCCUGUGCCUUUCACACUGUCACAACACACACCAUCCAUAAAACUCCAUGGCUCCAUCCACCACAGAGACACAAAGGGAGCAGGAGAGAGAUGGGACAGAUAUGUGAAGUUGUUUUCUACUGGGAGAAAGGAGGACAGGCCUCUGGAAGCAACUGACUUGAUCAGUGGAUAGAAACGGCCCUCCAGAAAUGGCAGGAAUCGGAGAAUUAAAUCUUUCAAGUGGGGUGGUAUGUGCAACAGGAAAACAAGAAAACACCUAUCUUACUUAAUUUCUAGCAUCCUCUUUGUGCUCACAGCCAUUUUCACAAUUUUUCUGAUAAAUUUUGUCCAGCUUCCUGUCCGCAUGAUCAACAGAAUCACAAAUAAAUAGAAAAUAAAAUAAUAAUAAUAAUAAUAGAUACAUAAACCUUUUAUCUAUGCUGUUUCAUGGAGGUUAACUUCCUUUUGUAAACGUUUGGUACCACUUUAAUCACAGGCCUUAUUGCAAAUACUUAAUGCUGCAAAUGUGACACUUUUCAUUACUUAAAGCAGCAGCUGAAAUUGAAGUUUAACUUGAUGAGCGUACUUUUUAUCACUCUUAGAGAUACUUUAGAAAUAACAGAAUUUGUUACCAAGUCUGAGUCCAACAGCUAACUAAGUAUUUUUAUGCCUAAUCACAGAUAAAAAUUAACUUGUUCUAAUAAUGGAAAACAAACAAACAAAACAAAAAAGCAGAUCCCUUCCAAACUAUACUACUUUUCAGCUGAACAAAAGAAAAUCCUUCUUAUUGUAAUAAGAAAGAAAUGUUAUUGGCUUUCGGUGUAAUACACAGUUGGGGUGGUUCUGAAAUUGAAUAGGAACUCUGCCAGCCCAGAUAUCCGUUUUCCUCCCAGACAUAAACAGUAAAAGUUUUUACUUUUUUUGAUUAUUCAGUGGUAUUGAUGUAGCAGGAUGUCUUCCAAAAAUAUUUUUACACCACAGACCCAGAAAAAUGAAAGAUUAAACAUUACAGCAUACAAAUAGUGUCACUUCUUCAUCAAUUAUCAGAAAAGUAUUAAAAGAAAUCCUGUUACAGUUGAAUCUGUGCUAAUGUUAACUUCAGUUUGAAGGUCAAGUUAGACAACGUUUCUUACAUAGUCGUCUUUUAACCAAAUACUGUUUAUGAUGCGUUUUCAAGUAAUGACCAGAUUAAGAUAGGUGAAGUUCUGCUCUGCUUUAUUGCUCUAAAAUGCAAGUGACCUGUGAGUGCGUCAUCCAAGUACCGGUAGUCCAAGUACUACAGUGACAGAAGUCACUUUUUCAAUACAUGGCAGGAAGAUGAGAGUCUGUGUUAAAAAAAGCAAUUUUGUACCGAAUCACGUGCAGCAU
RNAcentral lists this long non-coding RNA (1797 nucleotides) under Oryzias sinensis (Chinese medaka). RNAcentral describes it as "lncRNA (ENSOSIG00000009871.1)". The record is from RNAcentral. Lineage: Eukaryota; Metazoa; Chordata; Actinopteri; Beloniformes; Adrianichthyidae.